GAGUUUGAUCGUGGCUCAGAUUGAACGCUGGCGGCAUGCCUUACACAUGCAAGUCGAACGGCAGCAUGAUCUAGCUUGCUAGAUCGAUGGCGAGUGGCGAACGGGUGAGUAAUACAUCGGAACGUGCCCUGUAGUGGGGAUAACUAGUCGAAAGAUUAGCUAAUACCGCAUACGACCUGAGGGUGAAAGUGGGGGACCGGCAAGGCCUCAUGCUAUAGGAGCGGCCGAUGUCUGAUUAGCUAGUUGGUGGGGUAAAGGCCCGACCCAAGGCGACGAUCAGUAGCUGGUCUGAGAGGACGAUCAGCCACACUGGGACGUGAGACACGGCCCAGACUCCUACGGGAGGCAGCAGUGGGGAAUUUUGGACAAUGGGCGAAAGCCUGAUCCAGCAAUGCCGCGUGUGUG
This 405-nucleotide ribosomal RNA is filed under the name uncultured microorganism. RNAcentral describes it as "bacterial SSU rRNA". It matches the Rfam family "Bacterial small subunit ribosomal RNA", at positions 9 to 407 of the family's 1533-position model. The record is from RNAcentral.